GUUCCAGGAGCUGAUCCCAGGUGUUCCAGGAGCUGAUCCCAUCUCUCCCCUGUCCCAGGUGUUCCAGGAGCUGAUCCCAGGUGUUCCAGGAGCUGAUCCCAUCUCUCCCCUGUCCCAGGUGUUCAGGAGCUGAUCCCA
Myiozetetes cayanensis is the source of this 138-nucleotide long non-coding RNA. RefSeq lists it as uncharacterized. NCBI's taxonomy places the organism in Eukaryota, Metazoa, Chordata, Aves, Passeriformes, Tyrannidae. The transcript has 3 exons. The record is from RefSeq and is a predicted model, not a curated record.